This 119-nucleotide ribosomal RNA is filed under the name Sinorhizobium meliloti CCNWSX0020. RNAcentral's name for it is "partial 23S ribosomal RNA". It matches the Rfam family "Bacterial large subunit ribosomal RNA", at positions 2703 to 2821 of the family's 2925-position model. The record is from RNAcentral. Lineage: Bacteria; Pseudomonadati; Pseudomonadota; Alphaproteobacteria; Hyphomicrobiales; Rhizobiaceae.
AUAUCUCUGGUGGACCUGUUGUCCUGCCAAGGGCAUAGCAGGGUAGCUAUAUAUGGAAGGGAUAACCGCUGAAGGCAUCUAAGCGGGAAACCCACCUGAAAACGAGUAUUCCCUUGAGA